AGGUGGCGAUAUGCAGACAGGAUGCAAUGCGCCAAAAAAACAGAAGAAGAAGAUGACGUCAGCGCAUUCUUGAUCCAUUAAAUCUCCAUUGUUGUACAGUUUUUCACGUCACUUGAUGUUAUUUGUUCACGGUAUAUUUUAACUGGGGCUGAACUAUUUUAAUACAACGGGAUCCUGAUGUAUUGUUGAGAGCGUCUUUCUGCUUUACUGGUAUUGGGUCAACUCUCGUGUGCGAGUUCUGAAGAUGGCGGCGAUGCUAAGUAGCAGCCCGGGCGCAGACUCAUCCCACAGCGGCACAGCCGCGGGCUCCGAGCGGCUCCGAGCUGAAGAUGGAUCUGAGUCAGAGAAACAGAGUCGUAUGACGGCCCUACUGGAAAAGCUCUACAGCAAACAUAACUCAUCCCGGUCCUGGCAGGAGACCAGCAAAGUCGUGCGGCAGGCAAUGGAAAAGCGUGGGGUCAUUAAUACAGCUGGACACCAACUGCUGCUCAACUGUUUAGAGACACUGCAAAGGGCACAAAAAGUAUCUUCGUUGCCAUCAAUGACGGAUCGUCUGGAGUCCAUUGCUCGGCAGAACAUGUUGGGAUCUCACCUGAGUCCCUCACGUACUGAGUGCUAUAUCACCUCAGAUAUGUUUUACGUUGAGGUGCAUUUGGAUAAAGCUGGAAAGCUUGUGGAUGUCAAAGUGGCCCACCAUGGUGAAAACCCUGUGAGUUGUCCUGAGCUGAUACAGCAUUUACGAGACAAAAAUUUUGAUGAGUUUUCCAAACACCUGAAGGGUCUGGUUAACCUGUAUAAGCUCCCUGGAGACAACAAAUUAAAGACAAAGAUGUAUCUGGCUCUUCAGUCCCUGGAGUUAGACCUCACCAAGAUGAUGCAUAUGUUCAGGAUAGCCACUAAGGCAAAUGCUGUGGAGACCAUACUUCGCGGUAGUGUGGGUCUGUUGACGGCGAGGAGCGGCGGUCAUCUAGUAUCUCUACAGUGUUAUGUUUCUCCAGAUGAUAUCUUUGAAGAGGGAACAGGAGCCCAACUGAACUUCACUGAUGUCAAUAUUCCCCGUACUUUAGGUGUGAGUGUGUCAGUGACUGUUGAGGGCACCACAUCGGUUUACAAGCUUCCCAUUGCUCCGCUUAUCACAGGAUCCCAUCCAGUCGACAACAAAGGGACUCCAUCAUUUUCUUCUGUAACAAACUCAAACUGUGUAGAUUUACCAGCGUGUUUCUUCUUGAAGAUGAAUUGCUUGAUGCCAUUCUCUGUAUCAUAUAUUAAAAAAAUGGGCAGUUCUACAGGUAUCCCUGUUUUUGAGACCGCGCCCACCUUGUCCCCACUAUAUGAUCUCAUCAUUAAAAGCCAACUGCAUGAGGAUGGAGGGGCCAGUCCUCCUGCUUUGGGCCAAACAAUGCGUUUUUAUGCAUCUUUACCAGGACAGCAACAUUGUUAUUUCCUAAAUGGUGAUGCUCCAGUGCAGGAUGGGAGGUGUCUUCAAGGAGCUUUGGUUUCCAAGAUUCCCUUCAGACAUCCUGCUCAGGUGCCUGCCCUCCUCGACAUUAUAAGACAUCAGGCUGCUUACAACACGCUUAUUGGCAGCUGCGUCAAAAAGACCUACAUUAAGGAAGAUUCUCCUGGACUGCUGCAGUUUGAAGUGUGUCCACUAACAGACUCAAGCUUUAGUGUGUCCUUUCAGCACCCUGUUAAUGAAUCACUUGUAUGUGUGGUGAUGGAGGUGAUUGAUUCGAUGCAGGUAGCCUGUAAACUCUAUAAGGGUUUAUCUGAUGCUUUGAUCUGCACUGAUGACUUCAUUACCAAAGUAGUCCAGAGAAGAGCACAGCAACACUUUCUAUGAUGUCAAAGAAACUCAGAAGAAUUUGUGUAAAAAGCCUGGAAAAGCACAGAAAGAAAAAGAGGCAAAAAGUUGGUGGAGUUAAUGUCAUAGUUCACAUUGAUGAGAGCAAGUUCUGCAAUAAACGCAAGGUAAUGUAAUCUAAAUGCAAUGCACUUGAUGAAAUGUGUUACAUAUUGUAGAACCAGAAAGAGCUGACAUCAAUAUGUGCAUCUUAGUUUAGGAUUGAUAUAAGUAGUGAGGGUGGACAUCACUUUCCCCAAAGCUGUCAAUCAGUUAAUACAAAUUUGGUUUACUUUUUCUUAUUUUCUUAUAUUGUAAGCAUAUUUAUUGUAUUAUAUGGAAUUUUAAACAGUUUUGGAUGGAAAAAGUAUUAUCAUGUAAUUACUCCUAACUAGUAAUAUACUUUUACAUGGUCAAGAGAUUAUUUUGAUUAUUUUCUAACACUGUUAAAAAAAAAAAUUGUAGUAUGCAAGAGGACGCUUUGGUAACACCUGGAAGAGAAAGCGAACAUGGGUUUUUGGUAUACUUGAAAUCAAAGCUGCAAGCAGAUGUCCAAUUCUUCGCCUUGUGAAAAAAAGAAACAAGGAAACCCUUGUUCCAAUCAUCAAAAAACACGUAAAAAGAGAAAGUCUUGUAGUGAGUGAUGAGUGGAGAGCAUACACCAGCCUUUCUCAGGAGGGCUACAAGCAUGUGAGAGUCAACCACAGCCAGAAUUAUGUAGAUCCUCAAACAGGACUACACACUCAAAACAUUGAGAGAGCGUGGCAGACAUAUAAGAGGAAUUUUGGCGUAUGCGGGGGAAUCGGUCUGAGAAGGCCUUAAAAAACAGCUCUGCUUCAUUGAGUGGACUUACUGGUUAGCCAGAAGACAUAAUUAUGGUGUACUUGGAAGACUUCUCAAGGACAUAAGAAAUGUAAGUAACCACAGAUCAGUUUAAGACCCCCUUACUAUCAUGAAAGGCAGAAUUAAUUAAUUAAUUUUUAUUUUCAUAUUUUUUGUUAUUUUAUUUUAUCAUUAUUAUUUUUAUUAUUUAUUUUAUUUUGCUUUGGUGUUGUUGGCCUAGGGACAAUAAAUUUGAAUUGAAGUUUGGUUUUUUUUCUUUUUUUCCUACAGUUUAUCCAAUAACACUGCAUAGUAAAGACUUUUAUUAAUUGUAGUGGUGGCAGUGCAGUGCAGCAUGUUAGUUUGUUUGUUUGUUUUUUUCAUUUCAUUUUUGCCACACAUAAUCACAGUUCAGAUCUGAUAGCCUUAUGAUAAGCCUCUCCUUUUUGUAUGUGAAAUCAAACCUAUGAGAUUUUGUACACAUUAUUUGUAGUUCUGCAAUGUCUCUUUAGACACAAUGUAAUCUUCACCACAUUAAUAAUUAAUAAUUAACAAAAAUAAACAUUCUAUAAAGUUACGCAGUGGAUAAAAGUGCAGAGCUGAGGGUGAAGUUAUGCUCUAAACAUUAUUUGUGUUUGUUUUAUCAUUUGACAGAUGGGAACAUGGAGAUAAUGGACAAUGGAGAUGAGGAGCCACAGGCCAUGAUGCUGGACUCCAGCACUGAUACUAGCACUGAUAACUGAAAAAUAUUGAAAAAUAACAAACAGCUCAUCCCCUUUUCUGCAAAGAAAGACUGAAUGUAGGAAACAGGAUGUUAGCUAAGUUUGAGUAGAUUGUAAGUAGAUACGUUUUGUUUUUCAUUAUUUAAAGUUCAAGUUGCUUUGCCCCCACGAUGACAUGGUAGAGACUUGUUUGAUUAUUUGUAGUGCUGCCAGUGCAGCAUGUUUAUUUUAUUUUGUUGUUUUGUUUUUGUUUUAUGUAAUGUUAAUUCAAGUAAAGUUUGAUACAACAUAAUUAGACUGUUCAGAUCUGAUGCCCUAGUGAACAUUGGAUUUGUAUAAAUAUAUUGUUAAUAAAACAACUUUCUCUAAUAUCCUGUCUGUAGUGUUGGUUCUAUUGUAGUUCAUAGUCUGGUAUUAACUUCUCAUUUUAAACGGUAAAUAUCUUGCAUAUAAUUAAUAGAUGGCUGUAUGUUUUCUGUUGAUAGCUUAUAGACUUUCAACUGUUAUCAACUGUUUUUCACUUUAAUUGGAUAGUCCUAAAAUAUAUCUACAAAUGCUUAGUUAAGAAUGUCUACUAAUGAUCUUCUGAACGUAAACUUUAGACUAGUUGACAAGCAACAGAUGCACAACCAAUGUUUAGUUGACUAUCAACAGAUAAUAAACUAGUGAUCUUGAUAAAAAUGAAAUGGUUAAAUAAUUAUUAAUUUGAUGCAUUUGAGACCCUUAAGUAAGGAUGAUAUAAUAUGCUCUUGAUCAUACGUUGACAUGACUGUAGACUUUCAACUGACAGAUUGAUUUUGAGUAGUUGGUAGACAACUUAGAGGAUGGUAACACAAUCUACAGAAAGUCAGCUGACUACUAGUUAACAACCUGUUGCGAAAUAAAUACUGACAGUCAGCAUGCACUUUUUGUAAAAUCUAUAGAUUAGAAAUUAAAAUGCGCCUUAUAAUCUACAGGCAGUUAGUUGAAUGUAUGUUACUUGUCUGUUGAAACAAUGUUGUUGAAUGUCAACUGAUGCACUGUUGACAUGCUACUAUAUGAGUACUGAUAACUAGUAGAGUGUCAACAGAUGGACUAUCAAAAUAAAGUGUUACCCGUUUGCCUAGCCAUUGUGGCAUGCACUCCCCUCAAGAAUGGCGGCGUGGGUAUAUCGUUCCCCAUAGCGUUUCAAACGCAGAGUAGAGUUCCCUUUCGAAAGGGAACAUCUCAGGUUACGUAUGUAACCAUGGUUCCCUGAGAACAGGGAACGAGACUCUGCGUUUCCUUGCCAUGCUCCGGGGCUGCCUGCUGAACAGUCCCUCAGACGAUAAGAUACUGACCGAUUCUCUAGGCGCUCCUUAUAUACUUCCGGGUCACGCUAUGAUAACGUCAUAGGCUGUCGCUGGCCAAUAGAAUUGGAGAGAUUUGAUACUUGGCUUUCAGACAUCGGUUCAUGUGUGACGUUGCCCAUAGCGUUUCAAAUGCAGAGUCUCGUUCCCUAUUCUCAGGGAACCAUGGUUACAUACGUAACCUGAGACGUUUUACUGCUGUUGAACUUCAAUGUACAGCAGUUGUACUGUGAUUAUACUUCAUUAUACUGCAAAUCUAUGGUUGUGCUUAAUUAUACUGCAGUUAUACUACUUUGUACUGCAGUUUUAUUGCAGUUAUACUUCAAUAUACUGCAGUUGUUGAAAAGGCUUAGUAAGUUGAUUUUUAUUGGUGGGUUGGGAAUUAUUGACAGCCAUAACUUAGUCCCGCCCUCAGAGUUUGACGCAACUUGUUAUGUUCCGCUAUUAUCGCUGUGGAGGGCUCGUGUGUAUUCAAGCCAUAGAUGAGUGUGUGUAACUUUGAAAGUAAGUUUCAUUUGCAUAUAUAAGGUCCUAAACCUUGUUUAGAUUGAUAUUGUUGUAUUCUGUGUUUAAACGUUUUGAUAUUGAAUGUGUCUGUAUUUCUGUUGAAGCUAAGGCUAGCGCUAUAACAGUAUUACUAUCUUUGCACGUGUGUUCCGAUGCGCACCGCAUAAGUGAAAUAAUGAAAACAGAUCACAUUUUCUAUAUUUGUACUUUAUUGUUUACACUGUACAAAUGCCAUUUAAGCCAUAUUUAUGUGGAUUGUGAAGAUUAUGCUGGAUUGAGAAAUAGUUAUAAGACGAUGGUCACAUGCAUAUUAAUAGUUGAUUAUGUGUUUACAUUUAUAUAGUCACGUGUUAUCAUAUGUUUAUUCAGUUGAUUUAAAUGUUUAUCAUUAUUAUUGUAAAUUGAUUAUUUAUAUUUCUGUUUUUAUUAUAGAAACCACACACACCUAAUAUCACAUACACCUGUUAAUGCUCUGCAUUGAGUAUGUCAGAUGGCCUGAAACUUCCAUUAAACAACAGUGAUUGGACUUUGGACUUUUGUGCAUUCUUACCGAUGCCCCGUGAUGAUCCCAAUUAAGUUAGAAUCAGAAAAUGCAGUCCAGAAACCUACUUAACAUUAGUCCUUCGAGCCGGAUCACAGUGAUUGUCACGGAAGAAGAUGUCCAGAGCCCAUUUAGAGUCACAGCAUGAGCCUGAUGUCCGCAGUAAACAGCAGCCACGCCCCCCACGUCACUUGGAGGAUUAUGAGGUGGAAUUCAGAGGCUUCCAGCAUACAUAUCCACCUACUUCCAGGGUGCAACCAGAGCCUUACCACAAUGAGUCAGAAAUGGAGGGUGCUGCCGGGAUGACACCCCUCACUAGGUGGAAUGUUGCUAAUUGAGAUGAUGUUACAGAGGAUACUGGAGAACAGUAUGGAGACAAAGAGGCUCAAAGAUUGAUUUGGCAGCUACGAGAAGAGAACAGACGACUGCAUAAAACCAUAGAGGACAUGAAACACAGCUCUGAAAGGGAUGAAACAGACUCAUCAGUGUCCUGUGCCCUUGCCUCGCACUCACUCAUUAAGAAAAGCAGCUAAGAAACAGACAAAGAAUCUCUCCUGUCCCAGCUCCACAUCUAAACAAGUCACCAGUAGCUCAAGUGAGUAAUCAGACCUCGAAAGAGACUGGAAAACCAGUUACGGAUGAUGAAAGAGCAGAGUCAGCAGAUGAGGAGCUAGACAAUGAAACUGAGUUGUCAAGUGAACUUUCGGAAAUGAGACUGCAGUCCACACCAAAGAACAGACAUGUGCAAUAUCAACCGAGAUCGCCAUAUACAUCACAACCCCAGCACAAGAUAAGUGUACACACUGCCAGUGGCCCAAGCUGUUCGCACGACCAGAGACACAUCCCACCACAGCCACAUAUACGCCACCCUUCCCCUUUAUCUGACUUCAGAUUCAGAGAACAAACUGAUUACCACCCAAGGCCUCAUUAUCAGCCAAGAGACUUUGUUCACUGCUCUCAUUCUCCUCCCACCAGAGAGAGCAUUUAUCGAGGUCCUACCCCUUCCAUACCAGAUGUCACAGUAGAGGACCCACGGCAGUUUGCAAUACUCAAGACUCAAGAAUUUGCUGCCAUACGAUGCAACUGAACAGUUUAAAUGUCAAAUUCUGCUUGAGCAUCUGAAAUUCGAAGAGGCCCUUCUAAUUGCGGACUCUUACAGCAACUCCCGCUAUCCAUAUACUCAAACAAUGCAUCUUACUGAACAUUACGGACAGCCUCAUCAGUUGGCAUUACAGAAAAUUGCUGACUUAAUGGAUGGGCCAAAUAUUCGCAGUGGGGACACGCAGGCCUUUCGGAGGUUUGCCCUCAGAGUCCGGGUAUUGGUGGGUAUGCUUGACCAGCUGGAUGAGAAGGGAGAUAUUGAAUUGCAGUGUGGCUCACAUGUGGCAAGACUCAUGUCCAAACUCCCUCAUGAUCUUUAAGAGGUAUGUUCACCCCCUCAGAAAUCCCAUUCCAAACCUACUCGACUUUUCACAUUGGCUGGAGUUCGAGCUGCAGGUGCAACCCAAUGACUGUAAACUCAGUACAAGUGAAACAAGGGGACGUGUUGGUCAACAGAAAGAGGCUCAGUGACAGCGUAAGCCCACUUUUCAGACAGCAGCCAUUUUGCAUGGUGUAGAUCAGUCUACAAACACUCCAGCUGCUAAAACCUCAGAAUUUCAAAACUGUAAGGAACCCCGCAUCGGCCCAAAAACGGAAUCCAACGGCCUGGGCGAAGGUUAACGUGUGUAUGUCUUUUCAGCGCCUCUGUGAAGUUCACUUAAUUUUCACUCGUUUAAUCCGACUACAGUUUCAAAUGAUUUACUCUUAGGUUAUGUUUCCAGUUAGAAAUUAAUCAUUGGUUAUGCAUUAAUUUAGAUUUUUGAUUAUUCUGAUUACCUUAUAUCUUCAAUUAUUUGUUCACUGCGGUCCCUGUAUCGCUUUAGAAAAGUCACUUCGGCCGACUGAGUGCUCUUCUCGGGCACAAACUCGUCAGUUCUGACCUUAAACAUUGGAUGCAGGGUAAAUAUCUACCUUUAAGUCGGUCGCGCUCUGCUUACUCGUAACAAAAAGCAUAGUUUUUAUAUAUUUACGAAAACUGCAACUUAUUUAAGGCAGCAAUAGUCAGAAAUCGAAAUGGACUUAAUUGAUGUGCCCUAUGCUCCAUCUAUUAAACCUUCCGUAUGAUCAAUCCUGAACACAGAUUUGCGGUAAUACCUUCGCUUUAAUCUACUAGAAGUAAUGAAUCAAAAAUAAUACAGAAUAAACCAAAUAUAACAUUUUAUUUGUCAAGUAAAAAUGUAUCAUGCCAAUUACAUUACAGUUAGACAAUUAGAAGCCAAUUCAGAAAUAAUGAAUGCAUAACAUCAAUUACUCACUAAUUAGAAAUGCAUAUACACACAGUGAUGUGUGAAUGUCUUCAGACAUUCAGCCAUCUCUGCACGGAGGCUUCUGGCUACAGAUGAUCCCGCAUGACUGCUUUGCACUUUACCUUAUAUACAGAACAGAACAAAAGGGUUGUAAAUAUUUAUUACACCAACACCUGUUUUGGUGUUCUUCAUAAUACCAGUGACUGCUGUGAAAUUGAGACCAUUUUCUUAACCAGUGCACUAACUUUACACAGCUAACCAGUGAGCUCAAAACUAACUGGAUUAAGUCAAAUAAGAGAUGUUGGAGGUGCAGAAGGAAACAUCAGGCAGCCCAGUGCAGACUCAAAGCCACAUGCAAAACUUGCAAGGGCAAGCAUCUAACUGUCUUGCAUGACAUCAACAUCAAGUCAACAGAGAUGAAGGACUCUCAUGAGAGACCCCAAGAAAGUCAAAUGCUAUACCUAGAUCAUCCAGCAGGUGGCAGCCAAGUCCUUCUGAAAAUUUGUAAAGUGCUCUUGCAUAAUGGCAAACAUUCAAUGAUGGCUUAUGCAAUUCUGGACGAUGGUUCUGAACGUACAAUCCUGCUUCAUGGUGCAGCACAGCAGCUUAAGCUUAAUGGACAGACUGAAACCCUCUCUUUGAGAACAGUGCAAUAUGACACCCAAGUCAUACAAGGUACAAGAGUAUCUUUCACUCUGUCCCCAGCAUUUCAGUCAAGCAAAAGGUUCAAAAUAAGGGGUGCCUUUGCUGCUGAGAAUUUGGGCUUGGCUAAGCAUUCACAUCCAGUUACCCUUCUGCAAAGGAGAUACCAGCAUCUCAAGGGACUGCCUCUUCAUGCCUUUUCGCAAGUUCAGCUAUUGUUGCUUAUAGGCUCUGAUCAUCACCACUUAAUUACCCCCAUGGAGCCAGUGCGCUUUGGACCACCAGGCGGGCCAGCUGCUAUAAGGACCAGAUUAGGAGGGACACUGCAAGGGCCAGCUAAUGUAGUCCAGCACCAAAUACCAGAGCAACAAUGCCUUUUCACAUCUGUGACCUCCACCUCACCAGAGCUGUUGAAACAUGUAGAAAGACUCUGGCAGCUUGACAUAUUAUCAUACCGCAAUGAGAAGAUGGUGACACGCUCAUGUUGUGAUCAGGAGGCCAUCAUUCUGCUUGAGACCAAGACAGUAAGGGUAAAUGUAAAUGGAGUGUUCCGCUAUGCCUCACCGCUUCUGCGAAAAAAGAACAUGCCCCAAUUGCAAGCACCAAAAGAGGCCGUUCUUCCUCAACUCAGAGCAAUGGAAAGGCGUCUCAGCAAAAGUGUAGAACUCACAAAGACGUAUAACCAAGAAAUCGAAAGACUGGAGCAAUCUGGUUAUGUUGUCAAGCUGGCUACUGAAGCAGUUGAUCAAACCUCUGAAUCGUGGUACAUACCGCACCACAUGGUACACCAUAAUGGAAAGCACAGAGUGGUGUACAAUUGUUCCUUUCAGUACCAAGGCCAUAACCUCAAUCAGUACCUUUCACCUGGGCCUACCCUCACUUCCACUUUACUAGGAGUGUUACUUCGUUUCAGAGAGCAUGCUAUUGCAAUCACGAGCGAUAUCAAAGGCAUGUUUCACCAGAUUCGUCUGCUCCCAGAAGAUAAACCAAUUCUCAGGUUUCUGUGGCGCAACAUGCAGCGUGAUACACCAGUCAGUGUCUAUGAGUGGCAAGUUUUGCCAUUCGGGACAACAUGCAGCCCAUGCUGCGCAACAUCUGCUGUCGUAAAACAUGUUCAAGAGAACACCGAUCCACUAGAAGACACACGUGUAGCUGUAGAGAAACAUUUCUAUGUGGACAAUUACCUGCAGAGUGUAACUUCUACUGACAAAGCGACUGAAAUGGUGAACAAGCUGCAAGCUCUUCUACUUUUUGGUCGGUUCGAAUUAAGACAAUGGGCUAGAAACAUUCCUUCAGUCGUUGCUCACCUCCCUGUAGAAGCCAGAUCUGAGAAAAAUGAGCUUUGGCUUUCGGGAAAGCAAUGGGAUGUCUCUGAAUCCACAUUGGGUUUACAUUGGAUUUGCCAAGCAGACACACUUGGUUACAAAGCUCGCCUGAGGGAACCACAAGUGCCCACGAUGCGGUAUGUCUAUCAGGUCUUAGCUAGUCAGUACGACCCACUAGGCUACAUUAUCCCCUUUACAACAAGAGCCAAAGUACUGAUACAAAGACUGUGGGAUAAAAAACAAGAAUGGGAUGACCCAUUGAAACCAAGGGACCUCUUGCAAGCCUGGCAUGAAUGGGAAGAAGAAUUGCAGUACCUGAACAAGAUUGCCAUACCACAAUGCUACACUAGCACAGAACUGGAUUCUGAAGUGUGCAGAAGAGACAUCCACAUAUUCUGUGAUGCUUCAAAUCAUGCUUAUGGGUCAGUGGCAUACCUGAGAACAGAGAGUCCUCAGGGCCAAGUUGAGGUUGCAUCUGUCACAGCAAGAUCAAGGGUGGCACCAAAACGACAGUUAUCUGUUCCCAGGCUAGAACUGUGUGCGGCACUUAGUGGAGCUCAGCUGGCAAGAGUUUUGGAAAAGGAACUCACCUUGAACAUUCAACAGGUGACACUGUGGAGUGACUCAAAGACAGUCUUGGCUUGGAUCCAAUCAGAUUAAUGCAGAUAUAAAGUGUUUGUGGGCACAAGAAUUGCAGAAAUUCAGGAGCUGACCACUUCUCAAGCAUGGCGUUAUGUGAAGUCUGAAAACAAUCCUGCAGAUGACAUUACCCAUGGUAAAACACUUCAGCAGCUAUCAGUGCCAAGUCAGUGGAAACAAGGACCACACUUUUUGUGGCAAGACCCAAGUCGCUGGUCUAAUGACCUAGAGGAAUCAAUCCCAGACAGCACAGAUGAAGAGAAGAAGGUAACCUUCUGCAGCCUCACCACAGUAGACUUCUCGGACGUAAUGCAAGAAUUCUCACCAUACCGCAGUUUUAACCAACUGGUGGAACAUGAAGCACAAGAACAGUUAAAACAAGCCAAUCAGGUGAGAGAUUUAUCUGGCCAAGACUAUGCAGCUACUGAGAUCUCAAUCUUAAAGCAAGCCCAAGCUAUGUGUUUCCCAGUUGAACUUGACUCAUUAACAUGUGGUAAAUCCUUGCCUUCCAAGAGUAGAUUAAUAUCACUUGCCCCAGAAAUUUACCAGUCUACUGGGCUCAUAAGAGUUGGUGGCCGUCUGCGACGUAGUGAGCUGCUUGGGCCAGAUACUGCCCAUCCAAUUGUCCUUGAUCCCAAACACCCACUCAGUCAACUCCUGAUCCAACAUUAUGAUGAGAAACUUCAUCUUCCUGGUGCAGAAAGAGUAUUUGCUGAGUUACGCCAAAAAUACUGGAUCAUUAGAGGCCGAGAAGCAAUACGGUGGCACCAACAUCAGUGUCAUGAGUGCAAAAAAUGGCGCGGAAAGCCAGAAGUGCCAAAAAUGGCUGAUUUAUCACCAGCCCAACUUUGUCUCUACUGCCCAGCUUUUUAUUCGACUGGUGUUGAUUGUUUUGGGCCUUUCACAAUCAAAGUAGGCCGCUGCAAUGAAAAACGGUGGGGAAUCAUAUUUAAAUGUAUGACGACCAGAGGAGUCUACAUUGAUUUACUCCCCAAAAUUUACUAGGUUUACAUAAACACAGUUGGUUAUGUCUAAAUUAAAAGUAAUCAUUUGAGAGAAAAUCAAAUGCGUGUUUUUUUGUUAGAUGCGUGCAGGUCUUAAAGUGACAGCAAAGUGACAACCGAGGGGCCCCCUAAAUAAAAUUCUGCUUAGGGCCCUAUAAAGGCUUGGGCUGGCCCUGCGUGUACAGAAUAUAUUUCAGAGGAUUAAUUUAUAAAUUACCAAACUGGGUUACUUUGAUGAUCCACAGACUGCUCGGCGACCUCAUUCUCCUCAUCUGUGAAAAUAAUAGUCAUGUAGCUAAAUGUGAAAUGAUUAACGAGCUAUUAUCAAGUCAAUACUAACCACAGGUCGAUGCACAUCUUUCUUUUUUACCUAAAACAGGUAGAGCACGGGGUCUUUUUGCCUUUCUCCUCCGCAACAUUGUAAUGUGGAGAAUCAAAAACCCGUCUCUGGAAUCAAUCAACGUAGAGGUUAAUAAUACGGUUUCUUAAUUUUCUUGCUUGUGUCUGUCAUGGUACAAUUGAUUCAACACAAAAUGCUUUAGGAGCAGACUCAAUUAAUUGACUUUUUAUAUUACAGUCAAUAAUAAAUGAGUAUUUUAAAACUCUAAUCUCCAUACCUUCAAUCUGACGUCAGCUGUUGAAAUUUAAAAAGAAGAGGGAAAAAAAAGACCGCCAGCUCCAGCUACUUCUCUGACUGCACAUGCGUGUGACACGUCUCGGCGGGGCAAAUGCAGAUCUCUGAUUGGGUGUUUCACUCCCAUAUUUUAACUUUAUUAAAACAAAUAAAUACAGAAAACAAAACACUUAUGGUAGCAGGUCACGGAGGGUAAUUUAAUGAUGCAUUUAAAAUGAAUUUAUCCGAGCAAAUACAUCAUAUUCUACAUCGAUGUAGAAGAGGAUCUCAUCGGAAAAGUUUAAUAAAAUGGUUAAUCAAGAAGAGACUGCUUCACAGUGCACCAGUCUGCGGCGUUUGCAGAAAGAAACUCAAACUUACCAAUUACAAGUGCAACUGUAACGAGGCGGCAGACUCGGUGGGAUCCAUGUGCAGCUUUAUUAAACAAUCGUAGUCGUACAGGCAGGGGUCAUAUACCAGCAAGAGCAAUAUCAAAGACCAAACGUAAUCAGAAACAGGGACAGGCAAAAGGUCAGGGCAGGCGGCAGACAAGGCAGAGUAAUCCAGGAAACAGAUAAUCAGAUAAAUCACAAGGCAGGCAGCAGGCAAAACACGGAGGUAUAAGGCAGUCCAAGGUCAUACACAGAAUCACAAUAAACAGGGAAAAACGCUCGGUAAUGUUAGCCAGGGCAAAACAAGACUUCGCACAGGAUGAGUGUGUGCGCCGGCUUAAAUAGUCCAGGUUAUUGGGAUCAGGUGCAUGGGUAGUCAGCCCAGGGGCUAGGGGCAGGUCACUCCGGAUGGGUCCUAUGGAACUCAGUAGUGAGAGAUGGCUCCAGGAUGUCGUCAGCAUUGACCCAGGACCAUUCCUCCGGGCCAUACCCCUCCCAAUCGACAAGGUAUUGUAGUAGUCUUCCCCGGCGUCUGGAAUCCACGAGUUCGUGCACUUGAUAUGCCUCCUCGCCUUCCACGAUGAGGGGAGGAGGUCUCUGGUCACUGGCCUCCUCUAGGUUCUCCUCUCCUCUCAGACUACCUGUGGGCUUAAGCAAAGAGACAUGGAAAGUGGGUGAGAUACGGUACUCUGGGGGCAAUGCUAAACGGUAGGAAAUGGGAGUUAUUUGUCUGAUGAUUUUGAAUGGACCCAUGUACCUGGGACUGAGCUUUUUACAGGGUAGUCUGAGACAAAGAUUCCUGGUGGACAACCAGACCCAUUGACCAGGGUGGUAAUCUGGAUGUGGCCGGCAGGUACGGUCGGCUUGUUCCUUCUGUCGUUGGACUGCCCUUUGCAGAUGAAUGUGAGCCUCGUUCCAGACCUCCUCACUCCGCUGAAGCUAAUGAUCGACAGCUGGGAGAUCCGAUGGCUCUCCUGACCAGGGGAACAGUGGAGGUGGAUAUCCCAGUAUGCAUUUAAAGGGAGUGAGUCCUGUGGAAGGCUUUUGGAGUGAGUUCUGUGAUUAUUCGGCCCAGAAUAGGUACCGACUCCAGUCGGUCUGGUUCUGGUGGCAAUAGGAGCGUAUGUAACGAGUAAGUUCCUGAUUAAGCCGUUCAACUUGACCAUUGGCCUGGGGGUGAUAGCCAGACAUCAGACUGAUAUUGACGUUGAGUUUCUGGAAGAAGGAUGACCAGAGUCGUGAAGUGAACUGGGGACCCCUAUCGGAGACAAUGUCCUCGGGAAGACCAUAGAAGCGAAACACAAAGUUACAAAGGUGUUCAGCAGUUUCAAGGGCGGUAGGCAGCUUUGGCAGGGGAAUGAAGCGACAGGCCUUGGAGAAGCGAUCAACCACUGUGAGUAUGGUGGUCUGGCCCUGGGAGCUGGGAAGAUCGGUGACAAAGUCUAUGGCUAUAUGCGACCAGGGGUAUUGUGGAAUGGGCAAUGGUUGUAGUAGACCAGCGGGUAGUUGGUGUGAUGACUUGGUAGUUUGGCAGAUGGCACAGUUUCGGACGAAUGUGAUGAUGUCAGACUGUAACGAAGGCCGCCAGAAACGGUUACUGACUAGUUGAGUGGUGGCUGCUAUACCUGGGUGACCGGAGCUGAGUGACGUGUGUAUCCAUUGGAUGACCCUCUUGCGGAGGGAUGAGGGUACAUAAGUGUGUGCUGUUGGGCAGUUAGGAGGAGGUGGUUCAGCUUGGUGGGCAUCCGUGAUUUCUGUCAUGAUGUCCCAUUGUACUGGUGCGAGAAUGAUGGUGGGAGGUAGAAUGGGUUCGUUGGAUGGCGGAAUAAGAGUGGAGUCAUAUUGGCGUGAGAGCGCAUCGGCCUUGGUGUUCUUGGAACCGGGUCUGUAGGUAACAGUGAAUUGGAACCAUGUGAAGAACAGAGCCCAUCUGGCUUGGCGGUGGUUUAGACGUUUGGCAGAGCGUAAAUAUGUGACACUGUCACAUAAGACACGUGUUUUAUCUGCUCAAUAUAUAUAACAUGAUGGUUUUAUGUAUAUUUGAGUUUUAUUUGGGUUACAUGUUGUCUUAGCCAUUUUAUUCCUCUUACUUAUUUUAAUGUGUGUAUGUCUUUAAAUGUGUAUGGGUCUGCCUGUCAUGUGACUGAUCACAUGACAGGAACCAGGAAGUAAGCCAGCAUAAGGAGGCAGCAUGGCAAACAAUCUCUCUCUCAUUACAAACAUACUAGGACUGUGGAGUUACAUUUUAUGAACUUACCUUUCCAGCAAAUCACAUCACUCUUCAUUGGAUUAUCACUUCUGUGGACUUUGUAUAUACACCGGUGGACACUUUCACAUUGGGACUUACAUCACGCUAGGAUUCUUAUGGACUGUUUUGGGGUUUGGUGCAAAUGGACUCCACACUUUUAUAACAGCCUAAGUUAUUCUAGUUUUAUUGUGUUGUUUUAAGUUCCUUGUGAUUAUUGUAAAUACACCUUAUUUAUUCAUUUCUGUUGUCUGUCUCAUCUUUUUAAACACUCCAAAAGCUCACACAGUUUAAUCUGACCCCAUUUUAAUACAUGUAAACUCGACCGAUAGGGCCGAUCAUUACAAAUAUACAGGUUAUGAUGAUCAGUUAGAACAAUGAAUGGAUGCUUGCUUCCCUCCAGCCAAUGCCGCCAUUGCUCCAAGGCGGCUUUCAUGGCUAGUAGCUCGCGAUCUCCCACGUCGUAGUUCUGUUCGGUGGGCGUGAGUUUGCGGGAGUAAUAUGCACAGGGAAACAGCUUUGAGGGAUUGCCCUGACGUUGGGAGAGGAUAGCCCCGAUACCCGUGCUGGAGGCAUCUACGUCAACAAGGAAUUCCCGUUCGGUGUCUGGGUGAUGCAAGAUAGGGGCUGACAUAAACAAACUCUUCAACUUGUGAAAGGCAUCCGUCGAAGUGGUUGACCAGGUCAGCUUGGUAUUUCCCCUCUUGAGCAUGGAGGUGAGCGGAGAAGCAAUUAUGCUGAAGUUUCGGAUGAAUCGUCUGUAGAAGUUGGCGAAUCCCAAGAAGCGUUGCAGUUCCUUGAUCGUGGUUGGUAAUGGCCAGUUUACCACCGCCUGGACCUUGCUGUCAUCCAUCGCGACCCCUUCUGCGCUGAUGACGUAACCCAGGAAGGACGUUGCGGUCUGGUGGAACUCUUGAGUUUCUCGAGUUUGGCGUAGAGUUGAUGCUCUAUGAGUCUCUGAAGGACUGAGCGGACAUGAUGGACAUGAUCAGGGUAAUUAUCUAAAUAAAUAAGAAUAUCGUCAAUAUAAACAAUGACCCACUUGUUAAGCAUGUCCCGGAAGACGUCGUUGAUGAAAGCCUGGAAGAUGGACGGACUAUUGACCAGCCCGAACGGCAUGUGCCCAACGGUAUUCAUAGUGCCCUGUGGUAGUGGAGAAGGCCGUCUUCCAUUCGUCCCCCUCUCUGAUACGGAUCAGAUUAUAAGCACUCCGGAGGUCUAACAAAUAGCGGGCAGUGCGAAGCUGUUCUAAGGCCGCAGGAACCAAUGGCAGGGGAUAACGGAAUUUCACCGUGAUGUCAUUGAGUCCACGGUAGUCGUUACAGGGUCUUAACCCCCCGUCCUUCUUCUUUACAAAGAAGAACCCGGCCGAAGCAGGAGACGUAGAUGGUUGUAUGAAGCCCUUGGCCAACUCCUCCUCGAUGUAGUUCUUCAUGGCUUCAGACUCAGGCUGGGAGAGUGGGAAGAUGCGACCCUUGGGAGGCGUAGAACCUGGGAUCAGUUCGAUAGCACAGUCGUUGGCACGGUGUGGUGGUAGCUGGGCCGCUUUGGUUUUACUGAAAGCUUCAGCGAGAUCUUGGUAUUCGGCUGGUAGUUGGUUAGUGGGUGAUGAUGGAACGGUUGGGUAUUGGGGCUGUGAAGGCUGGAGACAGGUUCGAUGACAGUAGUCUGACCAGUGAGUGAUUUGAUUGUCUGCCCAUGAAAUCUGCGGGUUAUGCUGGCGUAACCAUGGUAACCCUAGGAUGACGGGAUUCUGAGGUGAUUUGAUUAUGAAGAAGCAGAUUGAUUCUGUGUGCAGUGCCCCAAUCUGUGAACCAGUGGUGUAGUGAACCUGUCCAGUCCCCAGGGGGCGUCCGUCUAGUGCUGCCACUGACAACACGGAAUUGCAGGGGAUUAAAGCAAUGUUAUGCGUCUUUGAGAAAUCUAAGUCCAUGAAGUUACCGGCCGCGCCUGAGUCUAUCAUGGCUUGGGCAUGAACAAAGCUAUCAUUUAUCAAAAGCCUGGAAUAUUAGGUGAAGUGGAGGGUGAGCUCACCGCAGUGGCGCCUCGGCUGGUGGGACGAGUGGGACACGAUGCCCUGGUAUGGCCGGGUUGACCACAAUAUAGACACAGGCGUUGCUGCAUACGUCUGUCUCUUUCCUCCGUAGACAGGUGAGUAGAACCGACCUGCAUGGGCUCAGAAUCAGGCGUUGAUGGAGUGACGGCAGGGAGAGACGCUGCGUUACGCGAAGGGCGUCGUGAUUGAAUUAAAUUGUCAAUGCGAAUAGCCAGGUCGAUAAAUCCAUUCAAGGUCCUUUCCUCGUCGCGGCACGCCAACUCUGACCGAAGAUCUGUGUUUAAGCCCUUGCAGAACAGUAAUUUCAGCGUGUCGUCCACCCAGGUGGUUUGUGCAGCUAAUGUGCGAAACGUGAGAGCAUACUCCGCUGCAGUUUGUUUGCCUUGGCGAAGCGCCAGCAGUAAUUCACCAGCCUCCUUACCGCCCUCGGCGUGCUCGAAGAUUUCACGGAAGCGCUGCAGAAAUAGGGUGGCCGUUAUUCCACACUGUUGUAGCCCACUCUAACGCCUUACCCGUCAGGGAACAUACAAAAGCGAUGCGACUCUCGUCAUUGGUGUACAGAGCGGGUUGUUGAGAAAUGAACAGCGAGCAUUGUAACAGAAACCCCUUGCAUCUAGCUGGUGAACCAUCAUAUUUCUUUGGGAAGGCUAAACGCGGGUUGGUUGUGGUGUCCGUGGGUGGCGUGCCUGAUGGCAGACUUACGUCAGCGUUGGAGAGUCGCAUGCUCUGUAGCGUCUUUACUAGCUCCUCGGUAACAGCGGUGAGACGGGUGAGUUGUUGUUGGUGGACGGCUAGCACGCUGGCCUGGGUUGAUAUCUCUGUAGACAGAUGAAAAAUGGAUCUUGGUUUGGCGAAGUCUUCUGUAACGAGGCGGUAGACUCGGUGGGAUCCAUGUGCAGCUUUAUUAAACAAUCGUAGUCAUACAGGCAGGGGUCAUAUACCAGCAAGAGCAAUAUCAAAGACCAAACGUAAUCAGAAACAGGGACAGGCAAAAGGUCAGGGCAGGCGGCAGACAAGGCAGAGUAAUCCAGGAAACAGUCAGAUAAAUCACAAGGCAGGCAGCAGGCAAAACACGGAGGUAUAAGGCAGUCCAAGGUCAUACACAGAAUCACAAUAAACAAGGAAAAACGUUCGGUAAUGUUAGCCAGGGCAAAACAAGACUUCGCACAGGAUGAGUGUGUGCGCCGGCUUAAAUAGUCCGGGUAAUUGGGAUCAGGCGCGUGGGUAAUCAGCCCAGGUACGGGGUUAUGGAAAAUGUAGUCCAGGACAGGUUAGUACUCAGGUGAGAGAGCCCUCUGGUGGCAAUCGGAGGGAGCCACAGAGGCCAAGUUCGUGACAGCAACGAUGGCUAUAUAUGGUAAGUAGAGUAAUAAAAGGUACUGUAUUUGUGUACAGCACUGUAUGCUGAUCAAGAUUUUGGUUAAAAUGAAUGGGAACGUCUAAAUGUUUUUGGUUUAUUUUUAACACAUUGUGUUUGUAUAAUACAUUUCCAUUAUAAUCUUUAUAAUUUUAACUGAAUAUAUUCAAUUAUCUUACAAAUAAAAUAAACUGUAUAAGAGAUAAAGGUAAAAUUCAGAAUUCGAAGUAGCCUACAUAAGCAUUAUUGAGAUGCAAAACAUUACAAAUACAGUCUAGUAAAUGUAUGUUUUCCUAAUUAAGCAUAUUAAAAUAAACAAUUUUUAUGUUCAGCUUUUUACAUUUAACUUAAUUAGUCCUUUGGUUUGACAAAUAUCAAUACAAACUGUAUAUGAAGUAUUAUAAAAGGGAUAGUCCCAGUCCUUGAUUGUGAUUGGCUGAACCUUGUUUGAAGCCAAUGUAAAUUACUGGGCAUAGACCUGUAAUUUAUUUAAACAAAUACAGUGGCAAGAAAAAGUAUGUGAACCACUUGCAGAAUCUGUGAAAAUGUGCAAAAUUUUAACAAAAUAAGAGAGAUCAUACAAAAUGCAUGUUAUUUUUUAUUUAGUACUGUCCUGAGUAAGAUAUUUUACAUAAAAGAUGUUUACAUAUAAUCCAUAAAACAAAAAAAUAGCUGAAUUUAUUAAAACGACCCAGUUCAAAAGUUUAUGAACCAUUGAUUCUUAAUACUGUGUGUCAUUACCUGGAUGAUCUACGACUGUUUUUUUUUUUGUUUUGUGAUGGUUGUUCAUGAGUCCCUUGUUUAUUCUGAGCAGUUAAACUGAGCUCUGUUCUUCAGAAAAAAAUAUCCAGGUACCAAAAAUUCUUCAGUUUUCAACCAUCUUUUGCAUAUUUGAACCCUUUACAACAGUGACUGAAUGAUUUUGAGAUCCAUCUUUUCACAUGGAGGACAACUGAGGGACUCAAACACAACUAUUAAAAAAGGUUCAAACAUUCACUGAUGCUCCAGAAGGAAACACGAUGCAUUAAGAGUCGGGGGGUGAAAACUUUUGAACAGGAUGAGGAGGUCCAAAUUUUUCUUAUUUCGCUUGAAUAUAUAUUUUUUUCAUUUAGUACUGCCCUUCGGAAGCAACAGAAAAUACUUGCAUGUUUCCCGGAAGAAAAAUUAAAUACAAUUUACCUUGAUCUUCAAAUUCCAAAUGUUUUACGCACUACAUGUCGUGGCUAACAACGCCCCUUAGCUGCUCUAAAUUCACUGUAAACCAUGACUUCUUAGGGCUUAUUGCUUUUUUGCAUAACAGCAUGUCAACUAUCUAUUUACUGUGUUAUCAUUCAUGUUCCUUUUAUUUUUUUCUGGGUCACAUUUAAUAAAAAAAAAUAUUAUAUGGGCAGUUAGAAUGUUUAUGGUCCACAUUAUUUGUUUUCAUUUGUUUUGUUUCAGGAUGUGCAAGAGAAAGAGUCAUUGCAAAGUUUCAUCAUCAGUAAGAAAAGGUUCACUUUUCAGCCAAAGUAGAGUACAACUUGUGAAAUGGUUGGAAUUUAUUUAACGAUUUGCACAAGGUCUCCAACUCAGGCAAAUUGACCUGCUAGAGGAUCAGAUGGCCAGAAGUUCAAGAACUCUGUCGCGAAUGACAAAUGCACUUAGGAAGAUAUGCAUAGCUGCACUACAGAGACCGAGAAGAACUGGUCUUACAGUUGGUGGAAACUCAAGACACAAGUUUGUUUCUAUUGAUGAGUCAAAGUUUGCACAUAAAAGGAAGUAUAACCAUGGUCGUUUUCGAACUACAUGGAGAAGAAACAACUGGGUUUUUGGAAUACUGGGAAUGAAGGGCCAUAGAUGUUUGCCCAUUCUGAAGACUGUCAAAAACCGCUCAAGACAAACUCUCAUACCCAUUAUGGCACGUGAGAAGAGGAUCCACCGUUUUCAUUGACUGCUGGAGAGCAUAUGCUCAGGCUCUUCCUAGGCAUGGAUACAGGCAUUUUACUGUCAACCAUUCAGAAAUCUUUGCUGAUCCAAUUACUGGUUGCCAUACACAGCACAUCGAGCGUGCAUGGCAAAGCAUCAGGUCUCAGGUUACCAAGCACAGAGGCAACAAAAGCACUCCACUCUUGAAAGAGCAUUUGAAAUGUGUUCAGUGGUAUCAUUGGUUGGGCAAACGAAACAGACAAGGAGUAAUUGCUCAACUCUUUCAUGACAUAAGAAAGGAUUUCGAAAUCCAUUAAUUUGCAGCCAUGAAGAACAUAUCAACUUAUAAAAAUUCUGUACUUUAUUGUAGAACAUAAUUUAAAAUUUUAAUUUGUUCUAAAAUCAAUUAGGGUAAUUAUAUGUAGAGAGUGCUUGAUAAUAUAAAUUAAUGUGUUUAUAUAGUUUUAACAGAAUGUGUAUUUUACUUUCAUAGAUACAGACUUUCUGAAUUGAAUGUAACUUCUAGGUAUUAAACCAUGUUUUCUGUGCA
This is an RNA transcript of Ctenopharyngodon idella (grass carp), 20839 nucleotides long. It is a transcript of the gene named mediator complex subunit 1, with no coding region annotated. Lineage: Eukaryota; Metazoa; Chordata; Actinopteri; Cypriniformes; Xenocyprididae. The transcript is spliced from 19 exons. The record is from RefSeq and is a predicted model, not a curated record.